GAGUUUGAUCCUGGCUCAGGAUGAACGCUGGCGGUAUGCUUAACACAUGCAAGUCGAACGGUCACUUCGGUGAUAGUGGCGGACGGGUGAGUAACGCGUGAGAAUCUGGCUCUAGGUUCGGGACAACCACGGGAAACGGUGGCUAAUACCGGAUGUGCCGAGAGGUAAAAGGCUUGCUGCCUAGAGAUGAGCUCGCGUCUGAUUAGCUAGUUGGUGGGGUAAGAGCCCACCAAGGCGACGAUCAGUAGCUGGUCUGAGAGGAUGAUCAGCCACACUGGGACUGAGACACGGCCCAGACUCCUACGGGAGGCAGCAGUGGGGAAUUUUCCGCAAUGGGCGAAAGCCUGACGGAGCAAUACCGCGUGAGGGAGGAAGGCUCUUGGGUUGUAAACCUCUUUUCUCAAGGAAUAAAAUAUGAAGGUACUUGAGGAAUAAGCAUCGGCUAACUCCGUGCCAGCAGCCGCGGUAAUACGGAGGAUGCAAGCGUUAUCCGGAAUGAUUGGGCGUAAAGCGUCCGCAGGUGGUAAUGCAAGUCUGCUGUCAAAGAAUCAGGCUCAACCUGAUAGAGGCGGUGGAAACUGCAUAACUAGAGUGCGUUCGGGGCAGAAGGAAUUCCUGGUGUAGCGGUGAAAUGCGUAGAUAUCAGGAAGAACACCGGUGGCGGAAGCGUUCUGCUAGGCCGUAACUGACACUGAGGGACGAAAGCUAGGGGAGCGAAUGGGAUUAGAUACCCCAGUAGUCCUAGCUGUAAACGAUGGAUUCUAGGUGUUGCUUGUAUCGACCCGAGCAGUACCGUAGCUAACGCGUUAAGUAUCCCGCCUGGGGAGUACGCACGCAAGUGUGAAAC
RNAcentral lists this ribosomal RNA (847 nucleotides) under bacterium enrichment culture clone HY363. RNAcentral's name for it is "bacterial SSU rRNA". It matches the Rfam family "Bacterial small subunit ribosomal RNA", at positions 9 to 900 of the family's 1533-position model. The record is from RNAcentral.